GCGGGUGUGGCGGAAUUGGCAGACGCACUAGAUUUAGGAUCUAGCGCCUUACGGCGUGGGGGUUCAAGUGUCCCUUCACCCGCA
RNAcentral lists this transfer RNA (84 nucleotides) under Enterococcus faecium. RNAcentral's name for it is "tRNA-Leu". It matches the Rfam family "tRNA". From Rfam's summary of the family: Transfer RNA (tRNA) molecules are approximately 80 nucleotides in length. Their secondary structure includes four short double-helical elements and three loops (D, anti-codon, and T loops). Lineage: Bacteria; Bacillati; Bacillota; Bacilli; Lactobacillales; Enterococcaceae. The record is from RNAcentral.